RNAcentral lists this long non-coding RNA (303 nucleotides) under Anser brachyrhynchus (Pink-footed goose). Its description in RNAcentral is "lncRNA (ENSABRG00000014760.1)". The record is from RNAcentral. Lineage: Eukaryota; Metazoa; Chordata; Aves; Anseriformes; Anatidae.
AUGAACUGCAAAGAUGACAUAGAAAGGUCCUCUAGGUAUCUAGGUGUAUUUGCCACAGUACCUCUAAGGAUAUCAAAGUCAACAAAGGAGGCAAGAAAUCAUUGGAAAGAAACAAAUCUCCUGCAUCUAGAGAUAUACACUGAAGAUAUUGUUCAGCUUGCAGUGGUGAAAAGAAGUUGUUCCCUAUUGACACCUGGCUUUGAACAAGGAGGAGACUGGUCCAGAGCUGCUUUAAAACUCCAGAUAAACAAAGACAAACACUCAAAGAGGAUUCAAACACAAAGUUGUCUUCCUGAGUCUUGA